Molecule: ribosomal RNA, 253 nt
Filed under: uncultured bacterium
Lineage: Bacteria
Description: partial 16S ribosomal RNA
Rfam family: Bacterial small subunit ribosomal RNA
Source: RNAcentral
UACGGAGGAUGCAAGCGUUAUCCGGAAUGAUUGGGCGUAAAGCGUCCGCAGGUGGCUAUGUAAGUCUGCUGUUAAAGAGUCUGGCUCAACCAGAUAAAGGCAGUGGAAACUACAUGGCUAGAGUGCGUUCGGGGCAGAGGGAAUUCCUGGUGUAGCGGUGAAAUGCGUAGAGAUCAGGAAGAACACCGGUGGCGAAGGCGCUCUGCUAGGCCGUAACUGACACUGAGGGACGAAAGCUAGGGGAGCGAAUGGG